Nicotiana tabacum (common tobacco) is the source of this 1749-nucleotide long non-coding RNA. RefSeq lists it as uncharacterized. The record is from RefSeq and is a predicted model, not a curated record. NCBI's taxonomy places the organism in Eukaryota, Viridiplantae, Streptophyta, Magnoliopsida, Solanales, Solanaceae.
UAAUGUAGGGUACACCAUUUCGUGAUCUCAUUGCUAAUAUAGCGUACACCACUCCCUAGUCUCUUUACCAGUAUAGGGUACAUCAUUCCCUAGUUAAUGAUCUUAAAUGUAGGGUACAACAUUCCCUGAUCUCAUUGCUAAUAUAGGGUACAUUACUCCCUAGUCUCUUUUUCAGUAUAGGGUACAUCACUCCCUAAUCUCUUUUUCAGUAUAGGGUACACCAAUCCCUAAUUGUGUUUUUCAACACAGGGUACACCAUUAACAAACCAGAUUGAUUAUAUGGAAGAACUAGGUUGCAUGUACAGGUUACUGUGAGCACGUAAUUUUUGCCUCACCUGAAAUUGCUCCUAAAAGGUCUAAAAAUAGUAUUAUCAAUUAUUUUGAUUUUUCUUGAAACUUUAAAGAUUUUUUCUUUGUUAGUUUGUAUGCAUUAUUUGUAUUACUAAGAGCAUGUUAAAUCAUAGAAAAUCACCAAAAAUACCUUUUUAUUUCAUUCAUCGUAUUUUCAGAUUCUAAUUGCAUUGCUGGCACUCAAAUGCCUGCUAAUUGCAGUUUUUAUUAAACACAAAAUCAUAAAAAUAUAUUAGCUAAUAACUCUGCAUUUUUGGACCUACUUACUCACAUAAUUAGUAGGAUAAUUUAUAAUUUUUAUAGUAAGUCAUUAGAUAGAAUCAGUUAGUAGGAUAAUUUUGCAAAUGGUAUGUCAGUUGAUUAGUGGCUAAUUGUAAAAUGAAGAAGAAGGGAGGAUAAGGCUACUAAGCUCAAAAUGAGACUGGGCCACGAUUUUGGGCCCAGUUUUACUAAGAAUACCCGUGCAGUACAAUUCAAUACCCGGUCCAAACAAUCUUAGCAUCAGACCAUCUAAACAAAGUAGUCUCGCAACAUAGCUAUGUCAUUUCACUGAUUUUCCCUUUAUAAUAAAAAUGAUUGAUAAAAAUUCAAUAUUUAUACACCACCCCUAAUCCCCAUUCUCUCUCAUCUCUCUUGGGCGGCCAAAAAUUGCUUUCACCGCCCACUGUCCUCCUUCCGCCUUCACGCCGUGGAGGACCACCGUCUGAUCGCCGCCGAAAAUCGCCACGGCGGCGGACCACCACCAAUUGGCUAAAUAUUUUCACCAGAUACUCCUCACUCCUCCUCGUCCCUAAUUUCUCAACCAUUUCCGUAAAAAUCCACCCAAACUCCACGAUUAGUAGACCUGGGAAUUUAAGUCUUUCUUGAUUCCUCUUCUAUUCUUACACGUCUGAGGUUAAAAUUCACACUAAUCGACAUCUCUUGAUGAGUAUUGUCGAUUGGUGGUGGUUUCGUCUCAUUUCGUGGCCAUCGGGGCCCGAUCAAAUUCUGGUUGACCGGCCAGUCCUCUCAAAGCUUCUUCGUUCAUCACCUCCAGCAUGCAAGAGCUAUUGCUACAUAUAGCACUGGCCGGCGUGACAAAUUUUGGUUGGUGCUUGUGUAGCAAUCCUCUGGCUCAUCGGAAUUUUCUCUUGACAGCUCGGUUUGAUCCAAUAGGUUGAAUGAAGAGUUUAAACUUGUACGAGUCAAAGGCAUCAGGAGAUAUGAAUUAAUUAUCGGAAACCUUAUUUGUUAUGACAUUGUUUAAUCCCAGAAAUGUAGGAUGCUAGUUCAUAAAAGCGUUUGUUAUUAUAAAUUCAAGUCAAGAUUUCUGAUGUAGUGAAUUUGGUGUUGUAAUUUUAAAUCCGGAUGAACAUGUACUCAUGCUUAGAUUAGUUCGUAGUUCUUUCAUUUUUUGCA